Molecule: ribosomal RNA, 207 nt
Filed under: uncultured bacterium
Lineage: Bacteria
Description: partial 16S ribosomal RNA
Rfam family: Bacterial small subunit ribosomal RNA
Source: RNAcentral
CGCGCAGGCGGCUAUCCAAGUCAGUGGUGAAAGCCCGGAGCUCAACUCCGGAACUGCCAUUGAAACUGUUUAGCUUGAGGACGAGAGAGGUGAGUGGAAUUCCCAGUGUAGAGGUGAAAUUCGUAGAUAUUGGGAAGAACACCGGUGGCGAAGGCGGCUCACUGGCUCGUAUCUGACGCUCAGGCGCGACAGCGUGGGGAUCAAACA